ACUCCGUGAAGUCGGAAUCGCUAGUAAUCGUGGAUCAGAAUGCCACGGUAAUACGUUCCCGGGCCUUGUACACACCGCCCGUCACACCAUGGGAGUGGGCUGCAAAAGAAGUAGGUAGUUUAACCUUCGGGAGGACGCUUACCACUUUGUGGUUCAUGACUGGGGUGAAGUCGUAACAAGGUAGCGCUAGGGGAACCUGGCGCUGGAUCACCUCCUUA
RNAcentral lists this ribosomal RNA (218 nucleotides) under Vibrio rotiferianus CAIM 577 = LMG 21460. Its description in RNAcentral is "partial 16S ribosomal RNA". It matches the Rfam family "Bacterial small subunit ribosomal RNA", at positions 1315 to 1533 of the family's 1533-position model. Lineage: Bacteria; Pseudomonadati; Pseudomonadota; Gammaproteobacteria; Vibrionales; Vibrionaceae. The record is from RNAcentral.